Molecule: ribosomal RNA, 253 nt
Filed under: uncultured bacterium
Lineage: Bacteria
Description: partial 16S ribosomal RNA
Rfam family: Bacterial small subunit ribosomal RNA
Source: RNAcentral
UACGGAGGAUCCAAGCGUUAUCCGGAUUUAUUGGGUUUAAAGGGUGCGUAGGUGGGUUGGUAAGUCAGUGGUGAAAUCCCCGAGCUUAACUUGGGAACUGCCAUUGAUACUAUUAAUCUUGAAUACCGUGGAGGUUAGCGGAAUAUGUCAUGUAGCGGUGAAAUGCUUAGAUAUGACAUAGAAUACCAAUUGCGAAGGCAGCUGGCUACACGAAUAUUGACACUGAUGCACGAAAGCGUGGGGAUCAAACAGG